AUGGACAUUCCGCUGCCGGGCGGGGGCGGCGAGGUCUCGGAGGACUACUCCCCGGCGGCAACCGUGGUGCCCUUCGACCCGCCCCUCCCUCUGCUUCGCGCGCCAGUCCCUUCCUCUCCCUCCGCCGCCUCCGCCGACCCCCCCGUCCUCGCCUUCCGCGACGCCGCGAGCUGGCGAGCCGCCUGGGAGGCUGCCGAGGCCAGCCUCUUCUCCCAGUGCGAGGCUGGUGCACGCUCUGGCUGUUCAAUCACUGCAACACGAAAAUGCAAGCCCCCCUGGUGGAAAGGUUUGUUUGGAGGUGCAACAACCAACUAUCAAGAAAGAGAAGAAUGUGAAGAACGAGAAAUGGCUUCUUGUCUUGAAUCAGCAAAGGAGGCUUGCAUUAAGUUUUCAAAGCAAAAAUGUAAUGCACCGUUCCAAGAUGCAAGGAUUGCCUCUGAAGGUCUCCUUGAAAAUACAGAUUUUGUUGUCUGGGAUGCUGGGCGUAACAAGACAGCAUCAGCAUCCUUGUCCAAUCCUGGGCCUGGUGGCACAAACUACAAAGGGAGUGACUUGCUAGACAGCUUAGCAUCUGAAGGCAAUAGCAACUCAGGGCAAUGA
This 600-nucleotide ribosomal RNA is filed under the name Triticum aestivum (bread wheat). RNAcentral describes it as "partial small subunit ribosomal RNA". The record is from RNAcentral. Lineage: Eukaryota; Viridiplantae; Streptophyta; Magnoliopsida; Poales; Poaceae.